UCCCAUUCGACACGGGCAGUCUGUCCAGAGUGCACCUUUCGGUUAGCAACUAAUGGCAAGGGUUGCGCUCGUUGCGGGACUUAACCCAACACCUCACGGCACGAGCUGACGACAGCCAUGCACCACCUGCACAGAAGUCCCUUGCGGGAGGUUCUGGCUUUCACCAAAAUUUCUUCUGCAUGUCAAACCCAGGUAAGGUUCUUCGCGUUGCCUCGAAUUAAACCACACGCUCCGCUGCUUGUGCGGGCCCCCGCCUAUUCCUUUGAGUUUUAAUCUUGCGACCGUACUCCCCAGGCGGGGUGCUUAAUGCGUUUGCUGCGCCACCGAAGAGCAAGCUCCCCGACGGCUAGCACCCAUAGUUUACGGCGUGGACUAC
RNAcentral lists this unclassified non-coding RNA (376 nucleotides) under uncultured bacterium. RNAcentral describes it as "contains 16S-23S intergenic spacer region". The record is from RNAcentral.